This 1359-nucleotide ribosomal RNA is filed under the name Triticum aestivum (bread wheat). RNAcentral's name for it is "partial small subunit ribosomal RNA". The record is from RNAcentral. Lineage: Eukaryota; Viridiplantae; Streptophyta; Magnoliopsida; Poales; Poaceae.
AUGCAGAUAGGUUUCUUGUGCCGAUACUGUGGUGCUUCCUUUUGGUUUGCUGAGUGUUCUAAGUCAAGGUCUUCAUGGGUACAGCGUAAGAUGCUUUACAAUCAUUGUUGUAAAGGCGCAAAGGUCUAUAUCCCUCCCUUUAAGGACCCCCCGGCCUAUCUCCGGGAGCUCCUUCGGUUCGAUGGAACUUCUCGUGCUAAAAAAUUCAUCCGGGCUAUACGUGAGUAUAAUUGUAUGUUCGCUUUUACUUCAAUGGGUGCUACCAUUGAACGUUCGUUUGGUGGCAGCCGUGGACCUAAGGUAUUCAAGAUCAAUGGUCAGGUGUCUCAUCAUAUUGGUUCGUUGGUGCCGAGCGGUAAUGAUACUCCUAAGUUUGCCGAGUUGUACAUACAUGACCCUGCUAAUGAGAUUAGGCAUAGGAUGAAUGCCUUAAAUCCAGACGAUAAGCCCACCGGGGGUGUGGAUGAUAGCAUUGUGGUUGGUCUUAGAGAUAUGCUUAAUGAGUCUAAUCCAUUGGUUCAGACUUUUAGGGAGGCAAGUAGGAUGAUAGAGGGCCGUGGUGAUGAACCCAUCGAGGAUAUCUCGAUUUGUAUUAUUGGGCCUUCGGAGGGUGAUAGUCCACAGUUUAGCAUGCCUACAACCACCGGGCUUGCUGCUUUAGUCGUCGGUGGUGACUUUACGUUAGAGGCGUCUUCUCGGGAUAUUGUUGUUUGCAGUCGUUCCGAUGGUUUGCAGCGGAUAUCUUCUCUGAAUACCACGUUCAUGCCUCUGCAGUACCCGUUGCUUUUCCCUUAUGGUGAGCGAGGGUUCCAAAUAGAUGUUCCCCACUUAGCUGUUCCUGAAUAUGGUGAUGAUGAUGGGGAUGUAGGUUCUAAUCUUCCACCUGGGAGUCCAUCCGUUGAGGCGUCCUCUUCGUAUCCUUCUGGGGGUGGUGACUCAGAUACAAAUAGUCGGAAUAGGAUGACCAUGCAGGAUUACUAUCGUUUUAUGUGCCAUUACAAGGGUGAUCAGCCCAAUCCAUAUAUAUGUUAUGGUCUCCUCUCCUCUCAGUCGGUUGUCGAUGCGCGUGCGUGCAUUGAUAAGAAUAGACUAUGGUAUAUCAUAAGAAACCAGGACCUGUUUAGGUCAGAGCACAUGCAGGUUAUUGCCGAUGCGGUAGGUGAUGGGUGUGUCGAUGGUGAUGCUGUUGGGAAGAGGACCAUCGUGCCUUCCAGUCACAUGGGUGGUCGUCGUUACUUUAAUGAAAACUUCCAUGAUGGCCUUGCCGUUUGUCGAGUGCACGGUGCACCAGAUGUAUUUACCACUUUUACUUGCAAUCCUAAAUGGCCCGAGAUCAUUGCUGCGCUGGAGCCGGGGUAG